Molecule: long non-coding RNA, 496 nt
Organism: Papaver somniferum (opium poppy)
Lineage: Eukaryota; Viridiplantae; Streptophyta; Magnoliopsida; Ranunculales; Papaveraceae
Exons: 4
Source: RefSeq, a predicted model, not a curated record
UUCCUAAGUAGAGUUUUUUCUUUUAGGGAAUUUUCGUCCUUGAUUACUCCAUAUAUAAAGCUCUCGAACAAAUGCCAAACCUAGCUUGCAGCAUUGGUUGCAGCACUGGGAGGUCGCGGUUCUUUUGAAAAUUCUGAUGAUAAUAAUGUUGUGGUAGUGGUAAUAAUAAAAUUUCGGUAAUGAGAGGUCAUGGUUCUUUUAAAGCUUUGCGAUGGUAACAAUGAACUCACACUAGAUAAUGAAGAGAAUUUUUUCAAUGAUAACCCGACUUCCGAUAAGUCAAAGGUGGCGAUGAUUGUUAUCACAUUCGAGAGAGGAUCAUGUAAAUACUACAUCUUGGAUCAUGGGUUGGACCUAUGGAUGUUGAGGUCAAGCAAAGAAAAAUUUCUAAUCAGAGAAAAUGGACCAGGAAACCAACAACAACGAACGCUCUGAAAAUGUAUAUUUUCGAAUUAGUUUUUUACAUUGUACUGUGUGAAUCAUUUUUUUUUGGCUC